This 930-nucleotide long non-coding RNA is filed under the name Equus asinus (donkey). Its description in RNAcentral is "lncRNA (ENSEASG00005034114.1)". The record is from RNAcentral. Lineage: Eukaryota; Metazoa; Chordata; Mammalia; Perissodactyla; Equidae.
AUCUCUAAUAGGCUCCCACCCAGGUGAUGCUGGCACCAGUCUGCAAACCACACUUUAAGUAGCAGUGUGCUAGAUCAGGGGUUGGCAUACUGAGGCCAGCAGGCCAAAUCUGACCCAUUGCCAGCAUUUGUAAAUGAAGUGUGAUUGGAAGACAGCCGUGCCUGACCACUUCCAUAUUGUCUAUGGCUGCUUUUGCACUGCAAUGGCAGAGGGCCGACCCAGUGGCCGAGUAGUUAAGUUUGCACGCUCCACUUUGGCGGCCCAGGGUUUCACCGUUUCAAAUCCUGGGCACAGACAUGGCACUGCUCAUCAAGCCAUGCUGAGGCAGCAUCCCACAUGCCACAACUGGAAGGACCCUCAACUAAAAUAUACAGGGAAGUGCCUACAUUGAAGCUGAAUCCACAAGAGAUUUUGUAGCAGAGGUUGCUUUGUGUUGGCUGAGAAGUCAGAAUGGAUGACUUCUAGAAUCUCCUCCAACUCUGUAUCUCCUCCAAAAAGACCAAUGAAUUUCCCAAGGCCACACUUUUAUUCAGUGUCUAGCCAAAGCUAGAACCUACACCUCCCAGUUCUCUUUCCUCUAUCUCCUUCUCCAAUGGGAUUAUCAAUAUCAGAGUGGUUCUCAGACUUGCCUGAAGGGUGGAAUCACCUGGAGAACUUUCAAAGCUCCUGAUACCUGGUAUUCACUCCUAGAGAGACUGAUCUAAGUGCUCUGGGGUCAGCCCCAGGUUUUAAGCAUCGUACAAUUUCAAAUGUGCAGCCAGGAUGGAGAACACUAACAUCUGAUCAUCUCCCUGCUUUGCUAACAACCUUCUGAGGAUUCAACAACCCUUGCGUCUGCUGGGGAAAAGUCCAGAAUCCCUGACCUGGUUGUCAGCACCCUGAGAGACCUGGCCCCUCCUCCCAGCCCCUCAGCAGUGGGCUUUCCAGGCU